GACGAACGCUGGCGGCGUGCUUAACACAUGCAAGUCGAACGGAAAGGCCCUGCUUGCAGGGUACUCGAGUGGCGAACGGGUGAGUAACACGUGGGUGAUCUGCCCUGCACUUCGGGAUAAGCUUGGGAAACUGGGUCUAGUACCGGAUAGGAGCCAUCUUUAGUGUGGUGGUUGGAAAGUUUUUUCGGUGUAGGAUGAGCUCGCGGCCUAUCAGCUUGUUGGUGGGGUAAUGGCCUACCAAGGCGGCGACGGGUAGCCGGCCUGAGAGGGUGUACGGCCACAUUGGGACUGAGAUACGGCCCAGACUCCUACGGGAGGCAGCAGUGGGGAAUAUUGCACAAUGGGCGCAAGCCUGAUGCAGCGACGCCGCGUGGGGGAUGAAGGCCUUCGGGUUGUAAACUCCUUUCGCUAGGGACGAAGCUUUUUUGUGACGGUACCUAGAUAAGAAGCACCGGCUAACUACGUG
Molecule: ribosomal RNA, 466 nt
Filed under: uncultured bacterium
Lineage: Bacteria
Description: partial 16S ribosomal RNA
Rfam family: Bacterial small subunit ribosomal RNA
Source: RNAcentral